Molecule: long non-coding RNA, 643 nt
Filed under: Callithrix jacchus (white-tufted-ear marmoset)
Lineage: Eukaryota; Metazoa; Chordata; Mammalia; Primates; Cebidae
Description: lncRNA (ENSCJAG00000078606.1)
Source: RNAcentral
AUGCAGUGGCACGUCUUCCUUUUUGCCUGUGAUACCUGGCAUCGCUUGAAGGAGCAGCAGAGCUCCAAGGAACACCCUUUGCAAACUUCUUUAAAGGUGUUGAUGCAGAUUGUGGUUGAAAAAUCCAGUUAUAAGAAGACUGCUGAAUCUUGUCAAUAUAGACACGACUCCUAACACCACCAGUAUUGACAAAAGCAUUGUUAUGAUAGCUGUUAGGAUUCUAAUCAAAUUCUAUAUUUUUGUAUAAUUCCAUGUGGUCAGAAAUUUGUGUAUUUAUGCUAGAGUACAAUAAUAAAUCUCUUUCUAGAGCUGUGUUUCUGCCUUUGGUACUUUAUUUUUGUCUCAUUCUCUAUGUAUUAUAGAGGAAAUAUUUGGAUUUGAAUGAGGGAGAUAUUUGCAUUUUAGCUUCUGAAUUCUUCAUUGCUAUGCUUGUUAUGAUCCUGAUUUUCAUACUUUCCAUGUCUGCUUUCUGGUUUAAAAAACUCACAUCUGUUUUUGGCACUGGCUUUUUGCCUUCUUGAUUAAUUUAAUUUAAUGAUAUCUGUGAUUACUCUUCUAUCAAUAAAUGGGCCUUGUCAUUUCUCAGAGAGCUUCUUGUUUCUUUCUGACCUUUGGUACUUGAUAUGCUUGAAAUAUUUUUCAU